UGUCCAAAAAUGAUAGUAUGUGCCUA
RNAcentral lists this small RNA (26 nucleotides) under Bombyx mori (domestic silkworm). RNAcentral describes it as "ovarian small RNA-8993". The record is from RNAcentral. Lineage: Eukaryota; Metazoa; Arthropoda; Insecta; Lepidoptera; Bombycidae.